RNAcentral lists this transfer RNA (69 nucleotides) under Lycalopex sechurae (Sechura desert fox). RNAcentral describes it as "tRNA-Cys". Lineage: Eukaryota; Metazoa; Chordata; Mammalia; Carnivora; Canidae. The record is from RNAcentral.
AGCUCUGUGGUGAAUUCUUCACAUUGAAUUGCAAAUUCAAAGAAGCAGCCUAGACGCCGCCGGGGCUUC